UCGGUGGUGGUGGCCAUUAUUGGUGGUGAAGAUGCGCAGCAGCAGCAUGCAGAGAUUGUGUAAGAAGAAAACAGAAGAAAGCCUAGGAGAGAAUCCUGAGGAAAACCAAAGAUUUAAGGGAUGAGCAAAAGAGAAAUCUGCACAGUAACUCAUAAAGAGUGGUCGAAGAGGUAAAGAGAAAACAAGAGCAUAUGGUGUCAUACAAGCCACAUUGUCUCUAUGGUGGUGCCUUGGGUCUGCAUUUCAGCCAGCACAAAGGAGAAAGAAGAAGGUAUAGACACAUCACUUUAUUUUAAUGACAAGAUCCAGGAGUUGUUCUCGUCACUGUCACUCACAUCCCAUUGGCCAAAACUUAAUCACAUGGUCAUAUGCAGCUGCAAUGUGACAGGAAAUGUAGUCUUUUUUCAGAAUGACUGUUACCCUAGGUAAAAUUUGGAGAUAUUCUUUCUGUGAGAGAAAAAGAGAGUACAGCUAAUGGGAGAUAACUAGUGGCUACUGUCAUAUCACUUGACGUCUUUCAAAUCUUUGAUGCUGAUCAAUCUCUGCAAUUCCCCCAGUGUGCAGUUGUACUUUUGGUAAGAAGAGGAAGCUCAAGAUUUGACUUUUUCUCCCAUAAUGACCCUCAUUUUGGGGGUCAGAAAGGAAGCAUGGACAUUCACUCAUCUCUAUAUGAAGGAAAUGUGGAAACAAUCACAGGAUGCUUUUACAGACCUAUAAGUGCCAUUGUGACAGAAUUAGGCCCGCAAAUCCAAUUGUCACCUAAACUGCAUGCAUCCCAGAUUCUGCCAGAUACAUCACAGUGACAUUCUGCAUCGUGUUCAUUUAUAUUCAGGAGCCAAUACUCCCUGAAAGAUCUGGCUAUUUCCCAUCUCCCACUACACAGUUACCAUGGUAAAUAACCAAAGAUACUUCUGGAGAAGGCUGGGAGAAAGAUUUACAGGAAGUACUUCUGAUGAUAUCACAAGGUCCUUCUUCAGGUUACCUGGCUUCCUCUAUAUUCAAUGUUUGGAAAUAAACUCAAGUUUCAGAAUUAAAGAUGCUGUCCCUCCCAAGGAAAUGCACAUGUGUUGAGGAUAGUUAGGAGACUGUUUACUCUAGAAAGGCACACAAGAAGGAAGUGAGAUUGGGUAUUGA
RNAcentral lists this long non-coding RNA (1134 nucleotides) under Homo sapiens (human). RNAcentral describes it as "HSALNT0044259". The record is from RNAcentral. Lineage: Eukaryota; Metazoa; Chordata; Mammalia; Primates; Hominidae.